Molecule: small nucleolar RNA, 142 nt
Filed under: Scleropages formosus (Asian bonytongue)
Lineage: Eukaryota; Metazoa; Chordata; Actinopteri; Osteoglossiformes; Osteoglossidae
Description: Small nucleolar RNA U3
Rfam family: Small nucleolar RNA U3
About the family: Small nucleolar RNAs (snoRNAs) are involved in the processing and modification of rRNA in the nucleolus. There are two main classes of snoRNAs: the box C/D class, and the box H/ACA class.
Source: Rfam by way of RNAcentral
CCGCGAGGAUGAGAUACGGUGUCCUUUUCUGAGCGUGAAGGGGAUAGAGGAUUAUGGGUGUUUUUUCAUAAUCCUGUAUCAUUGAUGAUCGUUCUUGAUUUUCUGCGAGAAAUCAGAAGGGAAAGGACACGUUCUGAGUGGU